GACGAACGCUGGCGGCGUGCUUAACACAUGCAAGUCGAACGAAGUGGCGAACGGGUGAGUAACGCGUAAUCAACCUGCCCUUCAGAGGGGGACAACAGUUGGAAACGACUGCUAAUACCGCAUACGGAAGGAGGGGAUUGCGUCUGAUUAGCUCGUUGGAGGGGUAACGGCCCACCAAGGCGAUGAUGAGUAGCCGGUUUGGUAGGGUGAACGGCCACAUUGGGACUGGGACACGGCCCAGACUCCGACGGGAGGCAGCCGUGGGGAAUCUUCCGCAAUGGACGAAAGGCUGACGGAGCAACGCCGCGUGAGUGAUGACGGCCUUCGGUUUGUAAAGCUCUGUUAAUCGGGACGCGGUGCCGGUAUAGAAAGCCACGGCUAACUACGUGCCAGCAGCCGCGGUAAUAC
This 408-nucleotide ribosomal RNA is filed under the name uncultured bacterium. Its description in RNAcentral is "partial 16S ribosomal RNA". It matches the Rfam family "Bacterial small subunit ribosomal RNA", at positions 28 to 526 of the family's 1533-position model. The record is from RNAcentral.